GAGGGGUCCGCGUCCGAUUAGCUAGUUGGCAGGGUAAUGGCCUACCAAGGCGACGAUCGGUAGCCGGCCUGAGAGGGUGAUCGGCCACACUGGAACUGAGACACGGUCCAGACUCCUACGGGAGGCAGCAGUGGGGAAUUUUGCGCAAUGGGCUAACGCCUGACGCAGCAACGCCGCGUGGAGGAUGAAGGUCUUUGGAUUGUAAACUCCUGUCAGCAGGGAAAAAGCGAAUCGGCCUAACACGCCGGUGAGUUGAUUGUACCUGCAGAAGAAGCCCCGGCUAACUCUGUGCCAGCAGCCGCGGUAAUACAGAGGGGGCAAGCGUUAUUCGGAAUUAUUGGGCGUAAAGGGCGCGUAGGCGGCUUCGCAAGUGGAUGGUGAAAUCCCUCGGCUUAACCGAGGAACUGCCAUCCAAACUGCGUUGCUUGAGGCCGGGAGAGGCGAGUGGAAUUCCCAGUGUAGCGGUGAAAUGCGUAGAUAUUGGGAGG
This 488-nucleotide ribosomal RNA is filed under the name uncultured Acidobacteriota bacterium. RNAcentral describes it as "bacterial SSU rRNA". It matches the Rfam family "Bacterial small subunit ribosomal RNA", at positions 224 to 704 of the family's 1533-position model. Lineage: Bacteria; Pseudomonadati; Acidobacteriota. The record is from RNAcentral.